Molecule: ribosomal RNA, 500 nt
Filed under: uncultured bacterium
Lineage: Bacteria
Description: partial 16S ribosomal RNA
Rfam family: Bacterial small subunit ribosomal RNA
Source: RNAcentral
AUUGAACGCUGGCGGAAUGCUUUACACAUGCAAGUCGAACGGCAGCACGGACUUCGGUCUGGUGGCGAGUGGCGAACGGGUGAGUAAUGUAUCGGAACGUGCCCAGUCGUGGGGGAUAACGUAGUGAAAAUUACGCUAAUACCGCAUACGAUCUAUGAAUGAAAGCGGGGGAUCGCAAGACCGCGCGCGAUUGGAGCGGCCGAUAUCAGAUUAGGUAGUUGGUGGGGUAAAGGCCCACCAAGCCAACGAUCUGUAGCUGGUCUGAGAGGACGACCAGCCACACUGGAACUGAGACACGGUCCAGACUCCUACGGGAGGCAGCAGUGGGGAAUUUUGGACAAUGGGCGAAAGCCUGAUCCAGCCAUUCCGCGUGCAGGAUGAAGGCCCUCGGGUUGUAAACUGCUUUUGUACAGAACGAAAAGGUUUCUUCUAAUACUAGGAGCUCAUGACGGUACUGUAAGAAUAAGCACCGGCUAACUACGUGCUAGCCGCCGCUGUAA